UGUGGACCCGCUGUCCUGCCACCAGACACUGCCCACAACAGAUGCCCCCCCCCCCCCGCAACUGACAUCAUUCCCAGCAUGAGCUUCACAAAAGCCGCAGGAAACCCUGCUCUGGGGGGUGGGGGCUGGGGCUCAAAAGCCACCAGCUACUAAGCGCCAGAGUCCAUGCUGCCCCUGCUCUGUGCCUCCAGCACAGGACCACCCCGUUAAGUUCCAAGGUGUCCACGAAGGCCGGUGGGCCCCACCCUGCACGGCUGGAGAGACCAGCCAACGUGGGGAGCAUGUGGGGCCACGGGCAGGCAGCAAGCUCCUCUCUGAGACGCGUGUGGCCCCCGCACUCACUGUGUGGCGACAGGCCUCCAGAAAGCGCAAGCACUCCCCGGCCACAAGGACGCCGUCCACCGGAGGUGGGCACGGGCAGGAGGGAGCUCUGGGGUCCGGGGAGCCCCAGGCACACCCACACCCCAGUGGGCAAAGGCAGGGUGGCCACAGCGGUCAGAUGGCUCCUCCCCCCACCCCUGGCAUUGCCACCUGGCUGGGGCACUGAUCUCAAAGCAGCCUUACCCUCCCAAGGUCCCCCCAGAAACCCGCUCUGAGUCCAGUGGCUUUGAAGGCACAGGUGUUCUCCAAGCCAGAGCACCAGGUAACCACGAAGGUGCCCUGACUGCGUCGUGUCAACACCAGUCACAGACGCUCCGUGGUGUCCGCAGACAGGCAGCAUGGCCAAGGCGCCACCCACAGCGUCCAGCCUCCGACGCCGGAAGGACCCGUCUGCUCCAGAGACACUGAAGGUGCCAAGCACAGAGCAGGGCUUAUGCUCAGGCAGAGGAUACGGACAGUGCACAUUCAGGCCCUGAGGUCAUCCCACAACACCUGGGUAAACCAGGACAGGAAACAGCCAGAGAAACGUGCCCCUGGGCGGGGCCCAGGCCAGUGCUGGCUUCCUGCAGCAACCCACUUGCUGGCCCCACACAGUCCUUGAGGAGGGUCCUCCUGGCUUAUGGGAGCUGAACCCCAUCGACACCUGCUGUGCUCUAGUUGGGCAGCCCUGCCCUGCUCCAUUUCCUGGUGGGGCUGGAAAGGUGAAGGCCAGGGGGCCACAUGGCUUACACAAUACACACCCCCCCCCGGGACCUGCUUGGGCCCCACCUGGACCCUCUGGAGGUGCCCCCUGCUCCCCAGCUGAAGAAGCCUUUCCUGGAUCAGGGCUGAGUCAGACAGAGCCUCGGCAGCGGACUCCGGCCCGCACAGGGACAGCUGCCCCCCACCGGAGGGUGGGUAGGUGCCGAAGACCCACCCGUCCACCGGAGAACACGACGCCUCCCCAGGGCAGCCUCCACAGGCGACCCCAGGACACUGAGGACAGCCAUGUAGGGGAAAUGCCCUGGCAGAAGGGAGAUGACCUCUCAGUCACACCCGUGCUGCCCGGAGGCAGAGGCCUAAUGCCCACACAAGUGACAGAACCCGCUUGCUGAGCCAAGAGCACACAAGCGAGACAGAACCACCGAAAAGAUGCUACAGAAGGGACAAGCGGCAUCCCACCAGCCACCAGAGGGGCGUCCAGCCAAGCAGAGGGGCAGUCUGCCCACACCUGUGCUCGGCAGCCGGCGGUGUCCACCCGACUCCCGCAUCUGGAGGCGGAGCAGCAGGUCCCCUGGCUCGGGGCUGCCGGCCGGGGUACCCACAACGGGUGGGCAGCACGAAGCUCGCCGCCGCCUGGGUGACUCCCUCCCUUUCCAGGGCCCCAGGCAGAGCGCACGUGAGGACCGGGGAGGACCCGGGCACAGGCAGUCCGGGGACGGAGGCAGCGCUCGGAAGCUUCGGUCACACAGUCUUCCACUGAGGUCUCCUGGCAGCAAGCCUACCCCGGAUAAGGUCAGACGUUUAUCUCCCGGGCAAAAGGACAGGCCUGGGAAACUGCAACUCCCUUGGCACUUGAUGCCCAAGACCAGCCGGCAAACCGAGUGGCCAGGCCCAGUGCACCCACACCCCCGGGGCCCCACGUCCACCGAAGUCCAGACAACCCUUCCGCAAAAGGGACAGGGAGACAGCCCUCCCGGGAAGCAGGCACUCCCAGGGCCCUGGACGAGGCCACAAGGAACGCAGGAUCAACAGAUCCCUGGGGAGGGGGCCUCAGCUACAGGGAGAGCCCACUCCCCUCAGAGGGGAGAGGGACCCGAAGAGAAGGCCCGCCGCUUUGUGUCCCUCUUGCAGCUGUUUCCUAAACAUCACAUGGCAACGCGGUGUUGACACACGCGCGCGGCUGAUCCUUUUGUAUUCGUUACUGUUAAUUACGGUGGAAACGUCCCGUAAUGAACCGUACAACACUGUAACUCGAUGAGGAGUACGGAGACCGGCCCCCACCCGUGGCGACCAGCGAGCGCGGCACACGUAGAAUUCACCGCUGUCACCACUCACACGAUGAUGUUGCCUCAUAAUCACAUUUUACCGGUGCGAUAAUUAGAUUAUUUCACUGCU
This is a long non-coding RNA of Herpailurus yagouaroundi (jaguarundi), 2478 nucleotides long. RefSeq lists it as uncharacterized. The transcript is spliced from 2 exons. The record is from RefSeq and is a predicted model, not a curated record. NCBI's taxonomy places the organism in Eukaryota, Metazoa, Chordata, Mammalia, Carnivora, Felidae.